This 510-nucleotide ribosomal RNA is filed under the name uncultured bacterium. RNAcentral's name for it is "partial 16S ribosomal RNA". It matches the Rfam family "Bacterial small subunit ribosomal RNA", at positions 28 to 507 of the family's 1533-position model. The record is from RNAcentral.
GACGAACGCUGGCGGCGUGCUUAACACAUGCAAGUCGAACGAAGAGCGAUGGAAGCUUGCUUCUAUCAAUCUUAGUGGCGAACGGGUGAGUAACGCGUAAUCAACCUGCCCUUCAGAGGGGGACAACAGUUGGAAACGACUGCUAAUACCGCAUACGAUCUAAUCUCGGCAUCGAGGAUAGAUGAAAGGUGGCCUCUACAUGUAAGCUAUCACUGAAGGAGGGGAUUGCGUCUGAUUAGCUAGUUGGAGGGGUAACGGCCCACCAAGGCGAUGAUCAGUAGCCGGUCUGAGAGGAUGAACGGCCACAUUGGGACUGAGACACGGCUCAGACUCCUACGGGAGGCAGCAGUGGGGAAUCCUCCGCAAUGGACGAAAGUCUGACGGAGCAACGCCGCGUGAGUGAUGACGGCCUUCGGGUUGUAAAGCUCUGUUAAUCGGGACGAAAGGCCUUCUUGCGAAUAGUGAGAAGGAUUGACGGUACCGGAAUAGAAAGCCACGGCUAACUACGUG